Molecule: small RNA, 585 nt
Filed under: Malus domestica (apple)
Lineage: Eukaryota; Viridiplantae; Streptophyta; Magnoliopsida; Rosales; Rosaceae
Description: sRNA MD05G0098900
Source: RNAcentral
UGAGACCCUCUUUCUUUCUUCUUCUCUUUCUUUCUUUCUCUGCACACUCUCUUCUCUCUCGAAACCCUCUCAUCACUCUCACUCUCUCUCCCGUGAUUACCCUAGUACACGGCACCCAUACCAUCGUUCCGUAGACGGCAUCACCAUCAAAACCUCGUCUUUCUCUCUCUUCCUUUUGUCUCUGCAAGAUCGAUGAAACCCAGAAACCUCCGGCGAGUUUUCUUCAUUUUCUCCGGUUUUGGAACGAGAUCAGGUCGGGGGAAAGCUCACCCAACUCCGGCGAACCCGUGACUGUUGAGAAACUUUCCGAACACCUUUGGCCAUUUCACGGCGAACCAAGCAAAAUAAAAGUGGGAAAGGGUCUCUUUCCAACACGCUACCAACUCCCCUUGUACAGGGCAGUAGUUGGCAGCCGUCCAACGUAGGUCAUGUGCGCGGUUGCGGCGGUGGGCCCUCCAACCUUUCACUCAGCUCUCUGGGCCCCGUACCUACUAUCCUCAACGCGACAAAGAGCUCACCUAAUUAAUUAAUUAAUUAUUUGUACCUGUCCUGCUACAAUAUGCCUGCUUUUAUAUUAUUUAUCUU